RNAcentral lists this ribosomal RNA (754 nucleotides) under uncultured bacterium. RNAcentral describes it as "bacterial SSU rRNA". It matches the Rfam family "Bacterial small subunit ribosomal RNA", at positions 126 to 903 of the family's 1533-position model. The record is from RNAcentral.
CUGCCCCUUAGUUGAGGAUAACCAUUCUAACGGAUGGCUAAUACUGAAUAUAGACUGGUGUCGCCUGGCACCGGAUCAAAAGGCUUCGGCCGCUGAGGGAUGAUCUCGCUUCUGAUUAGCUUGUUGGUGAGGUAGUGGCUCACCAAGGCGACGAUCAGUAGCCGGCCUGAGAGGGUGAUCGGCCACAUUGGGACUGAGAUACGGCCCAGACUCCUACGGGAGGCAGCAGUAGGGAAUAUUGCACAAUGGAGGAAACUCUGAUGCAGCAACGCCACGUGUGGGAUGACGCAUUUAGGUGUGUAAACCACUGUCAGAUGGGAAUAUAAUGAAUGUACCAUCAAAGGAAGCACCGGCUAACUUCGUGCCAGCAGCCGCGGUAAUACGAGGGGUGCAAGCGUUGUUCGGAAUCACUGGGCGUAAAGGGUCCGUAGGCGGAUACACAAGUCAGAUGUUUAAUUUCGAGGCCUAACUUCGAGUUUGCGUUUGAAACUGUGUAUCUUGAAUAGAUCAGAGGUUGAUGGAAUACCUGGUGUAGCGGUGGAAUGCGUAGAUAUCAGGUAGAACACCAAUGGCGAAGGCAGUCAACUGGGAUCAUAUUGACGCUGAGGGACGAAAGCGUGGGUAGCAAACAGGAUUAGAUACCCUGGUAGUCCACGCUGUAAACGAUGUUCAUCUAGGCGCUUGAGUAAUUGGGUGCCGCAGCUAACGCAUUAAGUGAACCGCCUGGGGAGUACGCUCGCAAGAGUGAAACUCA